GGGCUCGUAGAUCAGCGGUUCGACGCGCUAUAGAUCGCCACAUUGGCAUUGUGGAGGCCGCGGGUUCAAAUCCCGCCGAGUCCA
RNAcentral lists this transfer RNA (84 nucleotides) under Microcaldota archaeon. Its description in RNAcentral is "tRNA-Ala". It matches the Rfam family "tRNA". Rfam says of the family: Transfer RNA (tRNA) molecules are approximately 80 nucleotides in length. Lineage: Archaea; Nanobdellati; Microcaldota. The record is from RNAcentral.